This 253-nucleotide ribosomal RNA is filed under the name uncultured bacterium. RNAcentral describes it as "partial 16S ribosomal RNA". It matches the Rfam family "Bacterial small subunit ribosomal RNA", at positions 524 to 776 of the family's 1533-position model. The record is from RNAcentral.
UACAGAGGUCUCGAGCGUUAGGCGGAAUCACUGGGCUUAAAGCGUGUGUAGGCGGAUCGUUAAGUGCCUUGUGAAAUCCCACGGCUCAACCAUGGAACUGCUCGGUAUACUGCGAAUCUUGAGCCACUUAGGGGCUACCGGAACAAAUGGUGGAGCGGUGAAAUGCGUAGAUAUCAUUUGGAACGCCAAUGGUGAAAACAGGUAGCUGGGAGUGUGCUGACACUGAGACACGAAAGCCAGGGGAGCGAACGGG